This 442-nucleotide ribosomal RNA is filed under the name uncultured bacterium. RNAcentral describes it as "partial 16S ribosomal RNA". It matches the Rfam family "Bacterial small subunit ribosomal RNA", at positions 338 to 795 of the family's 1533-position model. The record is from RNAcentral.
CCUACGGGAGGCAGCAGUAGGGAAUCUUUCACAAUGGGCGAAAGCCUGAUGGAGCAACGCCGCGUGCAGGAUGAAGGCCUUCGGGUUGUAAACUGCUUUUAUAAGCGAGAAAUAUGAUGGUAACUUAUGAAUAAGGAUCGGCUAACUACGUGCCAGCAGCCGCGGUCAUACGUAGGAUCCGAGCAUUAUCCGGAGUGACUGGGCGUAAAGAGUUGCGUAGGUGGCAUAAUAAGUAGCUAGUGAAAUCUGGUGGCUCAACCAUUCAGACUAUUAGCUAAACUGUUAAGCUCGAGACCGUUAGGGGUAACUGGAAUUUCUAGUGUAGGAGUGAAAUCCGUAGAUAUUAGAAGGAACACCGAUAGCGUAGGCAGGUUACUGGGGCGGUUCUGACACUGAGGCACGAAAGCGUAGGGAGCGAACGGGAUUAGAUACCCCGGUAGUC